This 434-nucleotide ribosomal RNA is filed under the name uncultured Blautia sp. Its description in RNAcentral is "bacterial SSU rRNA". It matches the Rfam family "Bacterial small subunit ribosomal RNA", at positions 341 to 792 of the family's 1533-position model. The record is from RNAcentral. Lineage: Bacteria; Bacillati; Bacillota; Clostridia; Lachnospirales; Lachnospiraceae.
ACGGAAGGCAGCAGUGGGGAAUAUUGCACAAUGGGGGAAACCCUGAUGCAGCGACGCCGCGUGAAGGAAGGGGUAUCUCGGUAUGUAAACUUCUAUCAGCAGGGAAGAAAGUGACGGUACCUGACUAAGAAGCCCCGGCUAACUACGUGCCAGCAGCCGCGGUAAUACGUAGGGGGCAAGCGUUAUCCGGAUUUACUGGGUGUAAAGGGAGCGUAGACGGCAAGACAAGUCUGAAGUGAAAGGCAUGGGCUCAACCUGUGGACUGCUUUGGAAACUGCCUUGCUUGAGUGCCGGAGGGGUAAGCGGAAUUCCUAGUGUAGCGGUGAAAUGCGUAGAUAUUAGGAGGAACACCAGUGGCGAAGGCGGCUUACUGGACGGUAACUGACGCUGAGGCGCGAAAGCGUGGGGAGCAAACAGGAUUAGAUACCCUGGUA